Gordionus sp. m RMFG-2023 is the source of this 73-nucleotide non-coding RNA. The record is from the annotation of a RefSeq genome assembly. NCBI's taxonomy places the organism in Eukaryota, Metazoa, Nematomorpha, Gordioida, Chordodea, Parachordodidae.
GCCCCAGUGGCGCAAUGGAUAGCGCGUCGGACUUCUAAUUCGGAGGUUGCGGGUUCGAGUCCCGUCUGGGGUG